This 402-nucleotide ribosomal RNA is filed under the name uncultured prokaryote. RNAcentral's name for it is "bacterial SSU rRNA". It matches the Rfam family "Bacterial small subunit ribosomal RNA", at positions 355 to 774 of the family's 1533-position model. The record is from RNAcentral.
UGGGGAAUCUUAGACAAUGGGGGCAACCCUGAUCUAGCCAUGCCGCGUGAGUGAUGAAGGCCCUAGGGUUGUAAAGCUCUUUCAGCUGGGAAGAUAAUGACGGUACCAGCAGAAGAAGCCCCGGCUAACUCCGUGCCAGCAGCCGCGGUAAUACGGAGGGGGCUAGCGUUGUUCGGAAUUACUGGGCGUAAAGCGCACGUAGGCGGACCGGAAAGUUGGGGGUGAAAUCCCGGGGCUCAACCCCGGAACUGCCUUCAAAACUAUCGGUCUGGAGUUCGAGAGAGGUGAGUGGAAUUCCGAGUGUAGAGGUGAAAUUCGUAGAUAUUCGGAGGAACACCAGUGGCGAAGGCGGCUCACUGGCUCGAUACUGACGCUGAGGUGCGAAAGCGUGGGGAGCAAACA